Molecule: ribosomal RNA, 446 nt
Filed under: Micrococcus luteus
Lineage: Bacteria; Bacillati; Actinomycetota; Actinomycetes; Micrococcales; Micrococcaceae
Description: bacterial SSU rRNA
Rfam family: Bacterial small subunit ribosomal RNA
Source: RNAcentral
GAUGAACGCUGGCGGCGUGCUUAACACAUGCAAGUCGAACGAUGAAGCCCAGCUUGCUGGGUGGAUUAGUGGCGAACGGGCGAGUAACACGUGAGUAACCUGCCCUUGACUCUGGGAUAAGCCCGGGAAACUGGGUCUAAUACCGGAUAGGAGCGCCUGUCGCAUGACGGGUGCUGGAAAGAUUUUUCGGUCAUGGAUGGACUCGCGGCCUAUCAGCUUGUUGGUGAGGUAAUGGCUCACCAAGGCGACGACGGGUAGCCGGCCUGAGAGGGUGACCGGCCACACUGGGACUGAGACACGGCCCAGACUCCUACGGGAGGCAGCAGUGGGGAAUAUUGCACAAUGGGCGGAAGCCUGAUGCAGCGACGCCGCGUGAGGGAUGACGGCCUUCGGGUUGUAAACCUCUUUCAGCAGGGAAGAAGCGAAAGUGACGUACCUACAGAAGA